RNAcentral lists this ribosomal RNA (263 nucleotides) under uncultured Oscillospiraceae bacterium. Its description in RNAcentral is "partial 16S ribosomal RNA". It matches the Rfam family "Bacterial small subunit ribosomal RNA", at positions 1117 to 1382 of the family's 1533-position model. Lineage: Bacteria; Bacillati; Bacillota; Clostridia; Eubacteriales; Oscillospiraceae. The record is from RNAcentral.
GCCAACGGUCCGGCCGGGCACUCUGACGGGACUGCCGGCGACAAGUCGGAGGAAGCGGGGACGACGUCAAAUCAUCAUGCCCCUUAUGUUCUGGGCUACACACGUACUACAAUGGCUGCCACAGAGGGAAGCGAAGCCGCAAGGCGGAGCGAAUCCCCAAAGACAGUCCCAGUUCGGAUUGCGGGCUGCAACUCGCCCGCAUGAAGUCGGAAUUGCUAGUAAUGGCAGGUCAGCAUACUGCCGUGAAUACGUUCCCGGGCCUU